Molecule: ribosomal RNA, 509 nt
Filed under: uncultured bacterium
Lineage: Bacteria
Description: partial 16S ribosomal RNA
Rfam family: Bacterial small subunit ribosomal RNA (bases 20-332)
Source: RNAcentral
GACGAACGCUGGCGGCGUGCUUAACACAUGCAAGUCGAACGGAAAGGCCCUGCUUUUGUGGGGUGCUCGAGUGGCGAACGGGUGAGUAACACGUGAGUAACCUGCCCUUGACUUUGGGAUAACUUCAGGAAACUGGGGCUAAUACCGGAUAGGAGCUCCUGCUGCAUGGUGGGGGUUGGAAAGUUUCGGCGGUUGGGGAUGGACUCGCGGCUUAUCAGCUUGUUGGUGGGGUAGUGGCUUACCAAGGCUUUGACGGGUAGCCGGCCUGAGAGGGUGACCGGGCACGGUGGGGCGGAGAGCGGGCGCCGGUGGGUAGGGGGGGGGGGGGUGGGGAAUAUGGAACGGCGGGAGGGAGAGGGAGGCGGGGGCGGCGGGGGGGCGGAGAGGGGGUUUGGGUUGGAAGCCGCAGGCGCGGGUGAGGGGGGGUGGGCAGCGGAAAGGAGUAAGGACGCACCGGCUAAGGAGGUGCAAGCAGACGAGUGAAUAAGGGGAAGCCAACACGUCUUAUC